Molecule: ribosomal RNA, 2801 nt
Filed under: Escherichia coli
Lineage: Bacteria; Pseudomonadati; Pseudomonadota; Gammaproteobacteria; Enterobacterales; Enterobacteriaceae
Description: bacterial LSU rRNA
Rfam family: Bacterial large subunit ribosomal RNA
Source: RNAcentral
GGGUUGUGAGGUUAAGCGACUAAGCGUACACGGUGGAUGCCCUGGCAGUCAGAGGCGAUGAAGGACGUGCUAAUCUGCGAUAAGCGUCGGUGAGGUGAUAUGAACCGUUAUAACCGGCGAUUUCCGAAUGGGGAAACCCAGUGUGUUUCGACACACUAUCAUUAACUGAAUCCAUAGGUUAAUGAGGCGAACCGGGGGAACUGAAACAUCUAAGUACCCCGAGGAAAAGAAAUCAACCGAGAUUCCCCCAGUAGCGGCGAGCGAACGGGGAGGAGCCCAGAGCCUGAAUCAGUGUGUGUGUUAGUGGAAGCGUCUGGAAAGGCGCGCGAUACAGGGUGACAGCCCCGUACACAAAAAUGCACAUAUUGUGAGCUCGAUGAGUAGGGCGGGACACGUGGUAUCCUGUCUGAAUAUGGGGGGACCAUCCUCCAAGGCUAAAUACUCCUGACUGACCGAUAGUGAACCAGUACCGUGAGGGAAAGGCGAAAAGAACCCCGGCGAGGGGAGUGAAAAAGAACCUGAAACCGUGUACGUACAAGCAGUGGGAGCCUCUUUAUGGGGUGACUGCGUACCUUUUGUAUAAUGGGUCAGCGACUUAUAUUCUGUAGCAAGGUUAACCGAAUAGGGGAGCCGAAGGGAAACCGAGUCUUAACUGGGCGUUAAGUUGCAGGGUAUAGACCCGAAACCCGGUGAUCUAGCCAUGGGCAGGUUGAAGGUUGGGUAACACUAACUGGAGGACCGAACCGACUAAUGUUGAAAAAUUAGCGGAUGACUUGUGGCUGGGGGUGAAAGGCCAAUCAAACCGGGAGAUAGCUGGUUCUCCCCGAAAGCUAUUUAGGUAGCGCCUCGUGAAUUCAUCUCCGGGGGUAGAGCACUGUUUCGGCAAGGGGGUCAUCCCGACUUACCAACCCGAUGCAAACUGCGAAUACCGGAGAAUGUUAUCACGGGAGACACACGGCGGGUGCUAACGUCCGUCGUGAAGAGGGAAACAACCCAGACCGCCAGCUAAGGUCCCAAAGUCAUGGUUAAGUGGGAAACGAUGUGGGAAGGCCCAGACAGCCAGGAUGUUGGCUUAGAAGCAGCCAUCAUUUAAAGAAAGCGUAAUAGCUCACUGGUCGAGUCGGCCUGCGCGGAAGAUGUAACGGGGCUAAACCAUGCACCGAAGCUGCGGCAGCGACACUAUGUGUUGUUGGGUAGGGGAGCGUUCUGUAAGCCUGUGAAGGUGGCCUGUGAGGGUUGCUGGAGGUAUCAGAAGUGCGAAUGCUGACAUAAGUAACGAUAAAGCGGGUGAAAAGCCCGCUCGCCGGAAGACCAAGGGUUCCUGUCCAACGUUAAUCGGGGCAGGGUGAGUCGACCCCUAAGGCGAGGCCGAAAGGCGUAGUCGAUGGGAAACAGGUUAAUAUUCCUGUACUUGGUGUUACUGCGAAGGGGGGACGGAGAAGGCUAUGUUGGCCGGGCGACGGUUGUCCCGGUUUAAGCGUGUAGGCUGGUUUUCCAGGCAAAUCCGGAAAACCAAGGCUGAGGCGUGAUGACGAGGCACUACGGUGCUGAAGCGACAAAUGCCCUGCUUCCAGGAAAAGCCUCUAAGCAUCAGGUAACAUCAAAUCGUACCCCAAACCGACACAGGUGGUCAGGUAGAGAAUACCAAGGCGCUUGAGAGAACUCGGGUGAAGGAACUAGGCAAAAUGGUGCCGUAACUUCGGGAGAAGGCACGCUGAUAUGUAGGUGAAGCGACUUGCUCGUGGAGCUGAAAUCAGUCGAAGAUACCAGCUGGCUGCAACUGUUUAUUAAAAACACAGCACUGUGCAAACACGAAAGUGGACGUAUACGGUGUGACGCCUGCCCGGUGCCGGAAGGUUAAUUGAUGGGGUUAGCGGUAACGCGAAGCUCUUGAUCGAAGCCCCGGUAAACGGCGGCCGUAACUAUAACGGUCCUAAGGUAGCGAAAUUCCUUGUCGGGUAAGUUCCGACCUGCACGAAUGGCGUAAUGAUGGCCAGGCUGUCUCCACCCGAGACUCAGUGAAAUUGAACUCGCUGUGAAGAUGCAGUGUACCCGCGGCAAGACGGAAAGACCCCGUGAACCUUUACUAUAGCUUGACACUGAACAUUGAGCCUUGAUGUGUAGGAUAGGUGGGAGGCUUUGAAGUGUGGACGCCAGUCUGCAUGGAGCCGACCUUGAAAUACCACCCUUUAAUGUUUGAUGUUCUAACGUUGGCCCGUAAUCCGGGUUGCGGACAGUGUCUGGUGGGUAGUUUGACUGGGGCGGUCUCCUCCUAAAGAGUAACGGAGGAGCACGAAGGUUGGCUAAUCCUGGUCGGACAUCAGGAGGUUAGUGCAAUGGCAUAAGCCAGCUUGACUGCGAGCGUGACGGCGCGAGCAGGUGCGAAAGCAGGUCAUAGUGAUCCGGUGGUUCUGAAUGGAAGGGCCAUCGCUCAACGGAUAAAAGGUACUCCGGGGAUAACAGGCUGAUACCGCCCAAGAGUUCAUAUCGACGGCGGUGUUUGGCACCUCGAUGUCGGCUCAUCACAUCCUGGGGCUGAAGUAGGUCCCAAGGGUAUGGCUGUUCGCCAUUUAAAGUGGUACGCGAGCUGGGUUUAGAACGUCGUGAGACAGUUCGGUCCCUAUCUGCCGUGGGCGCUGGAGAACUGAGGGGGGCUGCUCCUAGUACGAGAGGACCGGAGUGGACGCAUCACUGGUGUUCGGGUUGUCAUGCCAAUGGCACUGCCCGGUAGCUAAAUGCGGAAGAGAUAAGUGCUGAAAGCAUCUAAGCACGAAACUUGCCCCGAGAUGAGUUCUCCCUGA